RNAcentral lists this ribosomal RNA (957 nucleotides) under Sodalis endosymbiont of Porphyrophora polonica. Its description in RNAcentral is "bacterial SSU rRNA". It matches the Rfam family "Bacterial small subunit ribosomal RNA", at positions 1 to 949 of the family's 1533-position model. The record is from RNAcentral. Lineage: Bacteria; Pseudomonadati; Pseudomonadota; Gammaproteobacteria; Enterobacterales; Bruguierivoracaceae.
GCAAGAUAGUUUGAUCAUGGCUCAGAUUGAACGCUGGCGGCAGGCCUAACACAUGCAAGUCGAGCGGCAGCGGGAAGAAGCUUGCUUCUUUGCCGGCGAGCGGCGGACGGGUGAGUAAUGUCUGGGGAUCUGCCCGAUGGAGGGGGAUAACUACUGGAAACGGUAGCUAAUACCGCAUAACGUCGCAAGACCAAAGUGGGGGACCUUCGGGCCUCACACCAUCGGAUGAACCCAGAUGGGAUUAGCUAGUAGGUGGGGUAAUGGCUCACCUAGGCGACGAUCCCUAGCUGGUCUGAGAGGAUGACCAGCCACACUGGAACUGAGACACGGUCCAGACUCCUACGGGAGGCAGCAGUGGGGAAUAUUGCACAAUGGGGGAAACCCUGAUGCAGCCAUGCCGCGUGUGUGAAGAAGGCCUUCGGGUUGUAAAGCACUUUCAGCGGGGAGGAAGGCGAUGGCGUUAAUAGCGCCAUCGAUUGACGUUACCCGCAGAAGAGGCACCGGCUAACUCCGUGCCAGCAGCCGCGGUAAUACGGAGGGUGCGAGCGUUAAUCGGAAUUACUGGGCGUAAAGCGUACGCAGGCGGUCUGUUAAGUCAGAUGUGAAAUCCCCGGGCUCAACCUGGGAACUGCAUUUGAAACUGGCAGGCUAGAGUCUCGUAGAGGGGGGUAGAAUUCCAGGUGUAGCGGUGAAAUGCGUAGAGAUCUGGAGGAAUACCGGUGGCGAAGGCGGCCCCCUGGACGAAGACUGACGCUCAGGUACGAAAGCGUGGGGAGCAAACAGGAUUAGAUACCCUGGUAGUCCACGCUGUAAACGAUGUCGAUUUGAAGGUUGUGGCCUUGAGCCGUGGCUUUCGGAGCUAACGCGUUAAAUCGACCGCCUGGGGAGUACGGCCGCAAGGUUAAAACUCAAAUGAAUUGACGGGGGCCCGCACAAGCGGUGGAUGAUGUGGAUUAA